AGCAGCCGCGGUAAUUCCAGCUCCAAUAGCGUAUAUUAAAGUUGCUGCAGUUAAAAAGCUCGUAGUUGAAUUUCGGGACCAUCAUGUCGGUCGUGCCUCGGUACGUACUGGCAUCGUCGGUUUCUCCCUUCUGACGAACCAUGAUGUCAUUUAUUUGGUGUUGUGGGGAAUCAGGACUGUUACUUUGAAAAAUUAGAGUGUUUAAAGCAGGCUCACGCUUGAAUACAUUAGCAUGGAAUAAUGAAAUAGGACGUUUGAUUCUAUUUUGUUGGUUUCUAGGAUCGACGUAAUGAUUAAUAGGGAUAGUUGGGGGCAUUAGUAUUCAAUUGUCAGAGGUGAAAUUCUUGGAUUUAUUGAAGACUAACUACUGCGAAAGCAUUUGCCAAGGAUGUUUUCAUUAAUCAAGAACGAAAGUUAGGGGAUCGAAGACGAUCAGAUACCGUCGUAGUC
RNAcentral lists this ribosomal RNA (450 nucleotides) under uncultured Glomus. Its description in RNAcentral is "SSU rRNA". It matches the Rfam family "Eukaryotic small subunit ribosomal RNA", at positions 569 to 1025 of the family's 1831-position model. The record is from RNAcentral. Lineage: Eukaryota; Fungi; Glomeromycota; Glomeromycetes; Glomerales; Glomeraceae.